UUGAAGUCUACUGUUCUGGUGGAGGCAGCGAGGAGGCAAGAGCCGGUUUUAUAAAUACUUGAUAAUGAUUCUUGUUAUUCAACCAAAGUUCACAAUAAUUCAAAUCAUCCUAGACAGUUUUAAGUUUGAUCAAGUAUAACACUAUAUGAAGUAAUAUGGUAACAAGUAUACUUCUUUGCAGGCACUUAUGGCUACAGUGAAGAGAAGAGUGAGCUGUACUUCUUUGGUCAAAAAACUCCGAUGAGGAAUUGGAUUUCAGACUCUAAAAAAGAAGUAAUCACAGGAGAUACUAACUAGGUCAUUGGAUUCAAAAAAACAUUUCCGCUAUGCGCGCAAUUGAGAAUGCCAGCACAAAUGGGUUUUAGACAGGUACACAUUCGAAAGAGAUACCGUGAUGGCUGCAGUCUUUAAACUGUAUGAGCUCAGCCGAGGCAAGAGUUACCAUGGUCAGCAAACUUCUCUCACCUCCUCUACAACUGAUCCGGCUCUUGCCUCCUCGCUGCAUCCACCGGAACAGCAAGCAUUCAUUCAGCAGACUUCAUUCUCAAUUGCGCGCAUAGCGGAAAUGUUUUUUGAAUCCAAUGACCUAGUUAGUAUCUCCUGUGAUUACUUCUUUUUUAGAGUCUGAAAUCCAAUUCCUCAUCGGAGUUUUUUGACCAAAGAAGUACAGCUCACUCUUCUCUUCACUGUAGCCAUAAGUGCCUACAAAGAAGUAUACUUGUUACCAUAUUACUUCAUAUAAUGUUAUACUUGAUCAAACUUAAAACUGUCUAGGAUGAUUUGAAUUAUUGUGAACUUUUCCAGAAUCAUUAUCAAGUAUUUAUAAAACCGGCUCUUGCCUCCUCGCUGCCUCCACCAGAACAGCAAGCAUUCAUUCAGCAGACUUCAACAGGCCCGGUUCUCCCCUCCUCGCUGCCUCCACAAGCAGCAAAGCAUGACGUCGUGGAUUGAACAUGUACAAGAGGAUGGUUAAAUCUUCCUGUUGGUUUCUCCAUGGAACAAUAGAUAUACAAAGCAACCAACACAUUGAGAAGUUACUCCCAGGUAUCUAGGCUGAAUCCGGAGAGGUCCAUACCCUUGGCUGUUCUCAAAGGAGCCAAAGGCCUGGCAAUCCUAACCGUUGCUAAAGCUGGUGCACUACUUUCUUACAAACUUGGUACUGGUUUGGUGGUUUCUCGAAGGUCAGAUGGAUCAUGGUCUGCUCCAUCAACCAUAUGUUCUGUUGGCUUAGGAUGGGGUGCACAGAUUGGGGGUGAGCUCAUGGACUUCAUCAUUGUCCUUCCUGAUAUAAAAGCUGUGAAAACCUUUUGUAGUCGCAUGCAUUUCUCUCUUGGUGCUGGUGUAGUGCUGCAGCAGGACCUAUUGGUAGAGUGGUAGAAGCAGAUAUGCGUGCUGGAGACAGGGGUUCUGGAAUGUGCUAUACAUACAGUUGUAGCAAAGGUGCAUUUGUAGCAGUAUCAUUAGAAGGAAAUGUUGUUGACACAAGGAUGGAUACAAAUCUUCAAUUUUAUGGCGACCCUUACCUGACGACUAAUGAUAUACUACUUGGGAUCGGACAGUGGAAAGACCAAAGGCCGCGGAGCCCCUGUAUGGGGCCCUUCAAUCCCUCUACUCCAGUCUACAGUCCUAGAUAAUUCAGUUGCUUCUGAACGACUAGUUGGUCAAGUAAUAAAUUGGCUUAAGAAUUCCGAUCUUCAUUUGUUGCCCUUGUUUGCAAUUGUAUAUAAGAAAUUUAUAGGCAUUUGUUUAUACGUCUGGUCAUUACCGCUUUACCCUCCCCCUAUUGUGAAUUCACUUGGAACUGCUCUUGUAUAUAAGCAAAAAAAUUUGUAUUUACUUCGGCCUGA
This is a long non-coding RNA of Rosa chinensis, 1847 nucleotides long. RefSeq lists it as uncharacterized. The record is from RefSeq and is a predicted model, not a curated record. The transcript has 4 exons. Lineage: Eukaryota; Viridiplantae; Streptophyta; Magnoliopsida; Rosales; Rosaceae.